AUGGAUAUGUGCCCGGUUGGCGGCUGCGACCGCCGGGAACCACGUCGUUUGUGCGCGGUGACCGGUGGGCGGGGAUUCAUGGCGAGUCACCUGGUGACGGCGCUGCUCGGCUCGGGAGAUUGGUCUGUGCGGAUCACCGACCUUGGCCCCCAGGCUGCCCUGUCUCCUGCCGAGAGUGAUGGACUCCUGGGCGCUGCCCUCCGCGAUGGCCGCGCCGCCUACGUCUCUGUCGACGUCUGCGAAUUAGCCCAGCUUACAAAAGCUUUGGAAGGGGUAGAUACUGUUUUCCACACUGCUGCGGCGGAUCAUACCAACAACAACUUCCAACUUCAUUACAAGGUUAAUGUCGAGGGUACGAGGAAUGUCAUCGAGGCUUGUAACACAUGCAAGGUUAAAACACUCAUAUAUACUAGUUCCAGUGGAGUUGUAUUCGAUGGAGUUCAUGGCCUCUUUGGCGUAGACGAAUCUACACCGUAUCCAGAUAAGUUUCCCGACGCAUACACAGAGACAAAGGCAGAAGCAGAAAAGAUGGUGAUAAAGUCCAACGGAAGAAAUGAGCUUGUCACUUGCUGUAUACGUCCUGGCAGCAUUUUUGGUCCUGGAGACACGAUAGUGCCAAUUUUAGUAUCUUAUGGAGGAAUGAUGAUCAUUGUUGGUGAUGGCAAGAAUUGUGAUGAUUUUGUAUAUGUUGAGAAUGUAGCGCAUGGUCAUGUAUGUGCUGAAAAAACUCUUUCUACCAUAGACGGUGCAAAGAGAAGUGGAGGCAAAGCCUAUUUUAUAACAAAUAUGGAGCCUGUAAAUAUGUGGGACUUUGUUUAUAUGAUUUUGGAAGAACUUGGAUACAAAAGCCGAUUCAGAUUAAGAAUACCUUCGUAUUUUCUCAAGCCAAUAACAUAUCUGGUAGAUUGGAGCUACCAUAAUAUAUUCUCUCACUAUGGAAUGCGUCAACCUGGCAUGCUAACUUCCGCAAGCAUUAAGUAUGCAACGCUGAAUAGAACGUUCAACUGCAACAAUGCUGCUCAACAACUUGGUUACAAACCAAUAGUGUCACUCAAGGAGGGAGUAAAGAUGACUACUGAUUUCUACAGGCGAUUAAGAGCAUGA
This 1104-nucleotide ribosomal RNA is filed under the name Triticum aestivum (bread wheat). RNAcentral's name for it is "partial small subunit ribosomal RNA". Lineage: Eukaryota; Viridiplantae; Streptophyta; Magnoliopsida; Poales; Poaceae. The record is from RNAcentral.